This 29-nucleotide small RNA is filed under the name Bombyx mori (domestic silkworm). RNAcentral describes it as "ovarian small RNA-35274". Lineage: Eukaryota; Metazoa; Arthropoda; Insecta; Lepidoptera; Bombycidae. The record is from RNAcentral.
UGUAAACUUACGUCCAUAAAGAUACUGCC